GUUGGAAUAGCUUAGUUGGUUAGAGCAUGUGGCUGUUAACCACAAGGUUGGAGGUUCAAGCCCUCCUUCUAGCGA
RNAcentral lists this transfer RNA (75 nucleotides) under Glycine max (soybean). RNAcentral's name for it is "tRNA-Asn". It matches the Rfam family "tRNA". From Rfam's summary of the family: Transfer RNA (tRNA) molecules are approximately 80 nucleotides in length. Their secondary structure includes four short double-helical elements and three loops (D, anti-codon, and T loops). The record is from RNAcentral. Lineage: Eukaryota; Viridiplantae; Streptophyta; Magnoliopsida; Fabales; Fabaceae.